GACGAACGCUGGCGGCGUGCUUAACACAUGCAAGUCGAACGGAAAGGCCCUGCUUUUGUGGGGUGCUCGAGUGGCGAACGGGUGAGUAACACGUGAGUAACCUGCCCUUGACUUUGGGAUAACUUCAGGAAACUGGGGCUAAUACCGUAUAGGAGCUCCUGCUGCAUGGUGGGGGUUGGAAAGUUUCGGCGGUUGGGGAUGGACUCGCGGCUUAUCAGCUUGUUGGUGGGGUAGUGGCUUACCAAGGCUUUGACGGGUAGCCGGCCUGAGCGGGUGACCGGCCACAUUGGGACUGAGAUACGGCCCAGACUCCUACGGGAGGCAGCAGUGGGGAAUAUUGCACAAUGGGCGGAAGCCUGAUGCAGCAACGCCGCGUGCGGGAUGACGGCCUUCGGGUUGUAAACCGCUUUCGCCUGUGACGAAGCGUGAGUGACGGUAAUGGGUAAAGAAGCACCGGCUAACUACGUG
RNAcentral lists this ribosomal RNA (468 nucleotides) under uncultured bacterium. RNAcentral's name for it is "partial 16S ribosomal RNA". It matches the Rfam family "Bacterial small subunit ribosomal RNA", at positions 28 to 507 of the family's 1533-position model. The record is from RNAcentral.